Molecule: transfer RNA, 80 nt
Filed under: Immersiella caudata
Lineage: Eukaryota; Fungi; Ascomycota; Sordariomycetes; Sordariales; Lasiosphaeriaceae
Description: Cercophora caudata tRNA
Rfam family: tRNA
About the family: Transfer RNA (tRNA) molecules are approximately 80 nucleotides in length. Their secondary structure includes four short double-helical elements and three loops (D, anti-codon, and T loops).
Source: Rfam by way of RNAcentral
GGGGGUGUAGCUCAGGAGUAGAGCGUUCGCUUCGCAUCACCUGUAUGCAAAGGCCCUGGGUCCGAUUCCCAGCUCCUCCA